RNAcentral lists this long non-coding RNA (1521 nucleotides) under Capsella rubella. RNAcentral's name for it is "long non-coding RNA (CRUB_LNC002306)". The record is from RNAcentral. Lineage: Eukaryota; Viridiplantae; Streptophyta; Magnoliopsida; Brassicales; Brassicaceae.
CUGAGAAUGCUACAAGUAGAGGGGGAAAAAAACCGUCAACCCUUUUUAUUUAGUUAUUUUUGCUGUCAUUAAUUCUGUUUGGCAACAGGUUUGGAAUCACAUUUUUUUUUAAUUUUUUUUUUGGUCUGUUUGGAUACACAUUGUCCUUCUCUUUUAAUAGUAUAGACUAGAGUCGGAUCCGCGCUACAGCGCGAAGGAAAAGUUUUGAGUUAUUUUUUUGAGAAAUUGAUAUCAAUAACCUUUUUAUGAUACCCUCUUUUAAAAAUACCUCUUUUUUGCCAUUUUCAUUUUUGCCCUCAUUUAAAUUGUAAUGACCAUUUUAGCCCUAGUUGAAAAAAUAUUCCUUCCCAAAAGGAAAGGAAUAUUCCUUCCAAAAAUUUUCCGCCCAAAGAUUUCAUGCCAAAAAAGUUUCUGAGAAAAAUUUUCCCGCCAAAAAAAUUUCCGCAAAUCUUUUCACGCAAAAAAAAAUAUUUUUACAAAAUAUUCCCGCCAAAUUUUUUAAAGGGUUUACAAGAUUUUUUAAAGGGUUUACAAGGGUUUUAAUGGGAUUUACAAGAGUUUUUAAAUGGUUUUUAAAAGAUUUGUAAUGGAUAAUUUUUAGUUAUUUUUACUAUUAAAAUAUGGUUUUUAAAAGAUUUCUAGUCUAUACUAUUAAAUAUAGAUAAUUUUUAGUUUUUAUUUAGUUAUUUUUCCUGUCAUUAAUUCUGUUUGGCAACAGGUUUGGAAUCAUAUUUUUUUUUUAAUUUUUUUUUGGUCUGUUUGGAUACACAUUGUCCUUCUCUUUUAAUAGUGUAGACUAGAGUCGGAUCCGCGCUAUAGCGCGAAGGAAAAGUUUUGACUUAUUUUUUUGAGAAAUGAAUAUCAAUAACCUUUUUAUGAUAUCCUCUUUUAAAAAUAAUCUCUUUUUGCCAUUUUCAUUAUUGCCCUCCUUUAAAUUGUAAUGACCAUUUUAGCCCUAGUUGAAAAAAUAUUCCUUCCCUUUGGGAAGGAAUAUUCCUUUCAAAAAUUUUCCCCCCAAAGAUUUCCUGCCAAAAAAGUUUCCGAGAAAAAUUUUCCCGCAAAAAUUUCCGCAAAUAUUUUCCCGCAAAAAAAAAUAUUUUUACAAAAUUUUCCCGCAUAAUUUUUUAAAGGGUUUACAAGAUUUUUUAAAGGGUUUACAAGGGUUUUAAUGGGAUUUAAAAGAGUUUUUAAAUGGUUUUUAAAAGAUUUGUAAUGGAUAAUUUUUAGUUAUUUUUACUAUUAAAUAUGGUUUUUAAAAUAUUUCUAGUCUAUACUAUUAAAUAUAGAUAAUUUUUAGUUUUUAUUUAGUUAUUUUUGCUGUCAUUAAUUCUGUUUGGCAACAGGUUUGGAAUCACAUUUUUUUUUAAUUUUUUUUUUGGUCUAUUUGGAUACACAUUGUCCUUCUCUUUUAAUAGUAUAGACUAGAGACGGAUCCGCGCUACAACGCGAAGGAAAAGUUUUGACUUAUUUUUUUGAGAAAUUGAUAUCAAUAACCUUUUUAUGAUACCCUCUUUUAAAAAU